This 65-nucleotide transfer RNA is filed under the name Bourletiella arvalis. RNAcentral's name for it is "tRNA-Met". The record is from RNAcentral. Lineage: Eukaryota; Metazoa; Arthropoda; Collembola; Symphypleona; Bourletiellidae.
AAAAAGAUAAGCUAAAAAAGCUUUUGGGCUCAUACCUCAAAUAUGAACACUUUGUUCUCUUUUUA